Molecule: RNA transcript, 1683 nt
Organism: Humulus lupulus (European hop)
Lineage: Eukaryota; Viridiplantae; Streptophyta; Magnoliopsida; Rosales; Cannabaceae
Gene name: pyruvate kinase isozyme G, chloroplastic-like
Exons: 6
Source: RefSeq, a predicted model, not a curated record
GUUUUCUUCUUUUUCAGGACAAGUACUCUCUUUAUGAUGACCAGUCCAUUGAAUAUUACUCUAUGGGCCAGGCAAGGGCGACUCCGAACAGUCGAAGAAAAACGAAGAUAGUUUGUACAAUUGGUCCCUCCACAAGUACAGAUAAAGACUGGGAAGAUAUCAAGUUUGGAGUGGACAACCAAGUCGAUUUCUAUGCUGUCUCUUUUGUAAAAGAUGCUAGAGUGGUUCAUGAGUUGAAAUAUUAUCUUAAAAAUUGCAAUGGAGACAUUCACGUGAUUGUAAAAAUUGAAAGUGCAGACUCUAUCCCAAAUCUUCAUUCAAUUAUUCCUGCAUCUGAUGGGGCAAUGGUUGCUCGUGGGGACCUUGGAGCUAAACUUCCGAUUGAGGAUGUUCCUCUGUUAUAGAUUCUGUCAUGAAUGAAAUUUCCUUGUGACGUACAGGAGGACAUAAUUAGAAGGUGUCAAAGAAUGCAGAAACCAGUUAUUGUAGCAACAAACAUGCUGGAGAUCAUGAUUAAUCAUCCUACGCCAACAAGGGCAGAAGUCUCUGACAUUGCAAUAGCAGUACGGGAAGGUGCUGAUGCGGUCAUGCUUUCUGGAGAAACUGCCCACGGAAAAUAUCCAUUGAAAGCUGUCAAAGUAAUGCAUACUGUGGCAUUGAGGACUGAGUUAAGUCUACCAAUUAGCACUGCUCCUCCAAAUAUAUUGAGUACAGAUAAGCGCUGGAAAUCGAAGCUUUUCAUCUAAUGCCCCACUAAUUGAAAUCUCUGAUGCUCAGAUUUUCGUUCCAGAUGUGAGUCUUUUUCCUUUUUCUUUUUGCUUUGUAUAAAUGUAGUUUAUUCAUUAAUUGGGUGCUUAUAAUGAAUGGAUACAAAAUAUUAGAUUAAACCCUGAAACUGUUUGUAAUAAGUCUUUAAAGAGAAUUAGAUGAACUAACUUUUUUCCUUCUCAUCAGUGAUAAAAAAGUACUUAAAGAACAAGCUGGAACUUUUUAAUUAAUGGCAUAUUUAUGAAGACUUGACAUGUGUUCAUGUGUUGAGGUUUUCUAUCAAGUUUUUGCAUUUUUAGUUACUGUUUGGAUAACCUCAUUUAAAAAACUUGUCAAUGACUCUGUUUUUUUAAUUGUAAUGUUGAUUUAAUAAUGCUAAUAUUUUAAAUGAAAGGUUUGUUUUGAAUGCUUUUUCUUAUGAGACUAAAUUUUUUUUAUUGUAUUUUAAGUAGUGGAUUCUUUUAAGUAGCAGUCUUUCUUUUUCCCUAGGAAACAUUGACCUGACUGGUUAAUUGCUGUUAAUCCUUUGGUCAAAUAUUUGAUAUAAUUGUUGUCAUAUUUAACCAGUGGCAAGAGAAAGAUACAGCAAUCUUAGUAACAAGAGAUAUAAUUGGUAUUUGUCUACUAGGAGAUACCAUCUUAGUACCUACUUACCUAUAAUCACUAUUGACCAUUUUUGAAAGCUUAAAAAUUUGAGUUAGUACCUACCUAUAAUCACUAUUUUAAUAUGUUUGGUAAAAUAGGAGAACACACAUAAUAUUUUGAGUAAUUUUUCUUAGGAAGGAAAAUAGAUCUCUUUGUAUUGUUUUUUUUUUUUUUUUGCAUGUUUGAUAAGUUAUGAAUGACCUUUAUUAAGGUAUAAACUGUUGUCAGAUUUUUUUUCCCGUACAUAAUGUUUGACAAUAGCUUGCUCGU